This 1411-nucleotide long non-coding RNA is filed under the name Gallus gallus (chicken). Its description in RNAcentral is "lncRNA (ENSGALG00010015639.1)". The record is from RNAcentral. Lineage: Eukaryota; Metazoa; Chordata; Aves; Galliformes; Phasianidae.
CGAGGCUGCUGGAUGUCUGCGAGCACAAACCACAGCGUGGCUUCCCAUGGCUGGAACCCAACAAGGGCGGUUUGGUUUCCUCUGCACUGAUUGAUGAUGGCUUCUAAUAGCUCUUGGACCCUGGGGAACUGGAGCUUCAUGGCAGAGCAGCUCAGACAAAGGCCAAAAGGAGGAGAUGAGAAAGAAAUCACUGUGAAAAUAUGCUCUGAAAAAUGUAUUGGCUUGCAACACUCCAUGGAAGUUCUCAAAGCAAGAAAAUCUUUAUUGAGAAACUGAAAAAUAUUCUCCCAGUCUUUUUUUUUUCACAGGCAAAAGAAUAGAAGUAUGUUAACCCAACCAAUAUUUGGUUGGUUGGUGGUUGGUUGCUGGAAAAUCAAGUGAAAUGGGAAGAGGUCCAUUGAUUGCCGCUAAAGCCAUCUGUGUGCUUGGGCAGCCUCUCCCUGGCCCUGCUGGGCAGCAGCUGAUGGUUCACGUGCUUUUCACAUUUUUAGUUGAUUUUUUUUUUUUUUCCAGACAACUUGGAUUUCACUUGAAAUCUGUCUGGCAGGACCUGGCCUCCAGCCUGCUUGGAACCCAUGGAGAUUAAUGACAUGGAAAAUGAGGAACGCUGACUGUAAAGCUCUGAAACUGUGGGAAAAGGCAGCUUAGAGCCAGGCUUCGGUGAGGAGGUGUGUGACUUGGUCUGGGAUGGUGUUUGGAGAGGCAAAGGCUCCUGCUGCUCUUUCAAGGGAACAGCCUCGUAUUUAAUAAGAACUCUCUCCUCACAAUGGAACUGGAGUGUUUCAAGUACAGCAAGUCCUUUCCUUCCCCUCCUGGCGGUGUGAUCCAGGUUUCUGUGGUCAAGGACGUGUUCGUGAAAAUAUGGACAGCACGAGUUGGAGGAGGAAUCAGCCAGGAACUCCCUUCUCUGAUUCCAUCUCCUGUGAGAUGUUCUGUGAGGAGGAGGAAGGUGCUCACCCUGUUCAGAUUGGGAGGGGGAGGUUGGGGUCUCCAGCAGCAGGAGGAACAUAGAAUCGUAGAACAUCCUGAGUUGGAAGGGACCCAUGGGGAUCAUCGAGUCAAACAGCGGGUCUCUGCUUGGGAAUGGGGAUGCAGGUGAUGUUCCUCUGGCCUGGCUCCAUUGGGCUUUCCAGCCACAGGGAACAUGAGUCACCUCCCUGUCACAGGAAACAACACUGAGAUGUGUCUUAAAAUCACCUCUUGUUUAAUGCUGUUAAGAAGGAAUAAGCAGGGUGGGUUAGAUUAUACCAGCAAGGAAGGGUUUAUGUAGCAUGGGACAUGGGAAAGUAGCACCUGAGACAAUAUGAGCCAUGCAUGAGAAGUCACUGUCAUGUGCUUUUUCUUGAGAUCUAAAGAGAGAGGCUGAAGAAAUGCAGAUUUACACACUUAUUUGUGCCCAGACAACAGGCUC